This is a long non-coding RNA of Sebastes umbrosus (honeycomb rockfish), 1654 nucleotides long. RefSeq lists it as uncharacterized. The transcript has 3 exons. The record is from RefSeq and is a predicted model, not a curated record. NCBI's taxonomy places the organism in Eukaryota, Metazoa, Chordata, Actinopteri, Perciformes, Sebastidae.
GCUGCGUCUGGCUAACUGCUACAUUGAGCUGCGUUAAUUGAGGAACUUUUACCUUCAGUAGGUGUGCAUAACAGUUGAACAAAGCAGAUUGUGAGGACUUCUCUGGCAACAAAACUCACAGCAUGACCUUCAGACAGGGCACGUUCAUCUCUGGGAAACGAGGAAGCAACCUCAACCUCAAGGGGCUGCGUUCGACUUGAUCUGAGAAAUCCUUUGGAAGCUGUGAGGCAUGUGUGAUAUUUCAAGCCGCUGUGCCUAAGUGCUGUCUUCAUGUAUUUUGGAGUGCCGCACUUCCUUCGGAGUAAAACUUCAAAGUCCUUCUGAAGCUGCACGAAAUGGCAAAAUGUGAGAAGAAAUCCUCAUGCGUAAGAAAACAUGUAAGUAAUCAGAGUAAAUUAAAGUUAAUUUUGAAUGUAUUAGGUUCCCAUGCCCUUUGCUGGUUUCAAGAUUUAAGCUUGAGGCGUCAAUCACAGAAAUAGAUUUCCUCCAGAGGACAUCCUCCAUCUGUUAGAGUCUCAUGACGAUUGUGGUUGAAUUGUGAUUCUCAAGGAAAACAGUGCAAGAUUGAGCCGUCUUUUUGGUGGUCGGCUCGACUCAAACACCUUUAACACAGAAAAGGAAGGAGAGCCAAAAGCCGAGAGUAUAAACCUGUUCUACUGACACGUCUUCACACUUCCCUCCGGAAAUUAAUGCACAUGAACGCUUGCCAAGCACAGCAAGCUGUUGGUCCCGGCUCGGAGAUGGCUAGGGCCGACAACACAAACGCCAAAUGAAGUAGGUAAAGUCCAAACCCAUUACUAUUAGCUCCCAUAACACGAACCGAGUGAUUGCUUUCUGCAGUAAAACGCGACUCUGUGCCAAUACAAUCAGCAAGCAGAAAAUUGCUGGGAGGUAAGAGUCUCAUAAAUUGUCAUAUUGGGAGUCCAGUCUUGUCCAUGAGAAAUUAGAAUCUAUAUACACAGUAUAUAUAUGUAUGCAUGCCCAUACAUGCCAUGCAGGGUUUCAUUCCCAUGCACUCGGAGCCAUAUGCUUUGAAUUGUAACUCUAAUUGUUGCCGCCCCCUCUCAGCUCUUCUCAAGCCAGCCAGCCCAUGUGUUUUUAUAAGGAAUAUGUCAGACUUUGUACCGUGGAAACUGUUCUUUUCACUUCAGUUACUUAGCAACUAAAUGACAUAUCUCGCUAAAGAAAAAAAAACCUCAAUAGUGAGAAAAACUUCAGGACAUCACAGCGAUAAAUCUGGCCGACGUGUCCAAGGUGGGAGUGUCGUCCCUGAAAGUUCUUCCUCCCACAAUGGGCCAUUAGCGCUGUUAGCACAUCCUCCGUUGGUAAUGGGAGUCAUUAGAGCCAUCAAGAGUUGAAGGACAAGAAUGACAGCUGGGCUGCCAAAGUUUAAUUUUGGCUGCUUCGAAUGCCAUUCAUCCGGCUGCGUGUCGUGUCACAGACAAGUUUGCUCGCUGACAGUAACAGUCAGGAAGGUUGAAUGACUUUACUUGAGUGAAGGAAGUUGUACAACGAGUCUGUUACAGAGUGACUGACUGAGUGAUGAAGUUACAUGAUUGGUCGGCCGAGUGUUCCUCAUUGGCUGUUGCUCUUUCAAGAUGAAAAGGCGGGGAACUGUCCUAAUAUGUGAUGGAUAAACGGUUAUAAUAGUCAG